RNAcentral lists this transfer RNA (68 nucleotides) under Echinostoma caproni. RNAcentral's name for it is "tRNA-Tyr". Lineage: Eukaryota; Metazoa; Platyhelminthes; Trematoda; Plagiorchiida; Echinostomatidae. The record is from RNAcentral.
GCCGACUUAGUAUAUUUGUAUAGUGCAUGGGAUUGUAGCUCCCGGGGAAGAAAUUAUUCUGGUCGGAG